GACGAACGCUGGCGGCGUGCUUAACACAUGCAAGUCGAACGUGAUUUUUAAGGAAAGCCCUUCGGGGUGGGAAUUAAAAUGAAAGUGGCGAACGGGUGAGUAACACGUGAGCAACCUACCUUACACAGGGGGAUAGCCGUUGGAAACGACGAUUAAUACCGCAUGAGACCACAGAAUCGCAUGAUAUAGGGGUCAAAGAUUUAUCGGUGUAAGAAGGGCUCGCGUCUGAUUAGCUAGUUGGAAGGGUAAAGGCCUACCAAGGCGACGAUCAGUAGCCGGUCUGAGAGGAUGAACGGCCACAUUGGAACUGAGACACGGUCCAAACUCCUACGGGAGGCAGCAGUGGGGAAUAUUGCACAAUGGGGGGAACCCUGAUGCAGCGACGCCGCGUGAGCGAAGAAGGUUUUCGAAUCGUAAAGCUCUGUCCUAUGAGAAGAUAAUGACGUAUCAUAG
RNAcentral lists this ribosomal RNA (453 nucleotides) under Parvimonas micra. Its description in RNAcentral is "bacterial SSU rRNA". It matches the Rfam family "Bacterial small subunit ribosomal RNA", at positions 28 to 464 of the family's 1533-position model. Lineage: Bacteria; Bacillati; Bacillota; Tissierellia; Tissierellales; Peptoniphilaceae. The record is from RNAcentral.